RNAcentral lists this long non-coding RNA (530 nucleotides) under Mytilus galloprovincialis (Mediterranean mussel). The record is from RNAcentral. Lineage: Eukaryota; Metazoa; Mollusca; Bivalvia; Mytilida; Mytilidae.
UUUUUAUGGGGGGCUAGGAUGAAAAAUGUUGUCCUGCAUUUUUUUUUAGCUGUAAUCUCUGUCCUGCCUUUUUAUUUUUCACUCUGUUCGGUCCUUUUUUUUUUUUAGUUUAUCCUGACUUUUUUUUACCUAAAUUGUCGUCCUGACAUUUUUUUUUUUUGCAAGUGUCUCAUCCUGCCUUUUUUUUUUACUCAAAACUCCUGUCCUGUCUAUUUUUUUCAAAUUUCAUCCUAACCCCCCCCCCCAUAAAAAUCAAAUGGUAGCUCCCUUAGACACAGGGUGAACGCAUUUAGUAAUGACAGUGAUUAUGUUGGUUGUCAUAUAGAACUCUUCAUUAUACUUAAAUUAAGUUGUUGCAACUGAAUUUCUCAUUUUUAAUCCUUUUUGUUAUUUUUGAAUUGUAGAACACAGAGAUUUGUAUUUUUUUGUAAGAGCCGGUGGGUGUCGAUGAGAACGGACGUGAAAUUUUUGCAGAGAGAAUCCAUCAACAUCAUCCAAAUUAGUCUUCUAAAUUGCUUUCUUGGAUGCAC